ACUUGCUAAUCGAAACUAGGGUCUAAAACAAUGUAUAUAAACCCUAUAAAACGUCCAGGGACUAAUAAUGUAAAUAGGGAAGUUUUCUGGGGCAAAUUUCCUCUUUUGUAAACUUGAAAGCGUCUUGGACUCUGCUGGGCCGAAACUGGUGUCGAUCGACACCAAGAGUGUGUCGAUCAACACUCCUCUUGAUUCCUAAAUCCAAAAUCGUCCUUAGCUUCCUUUUCUUUAGCUUUUGCUCCAAAAUGUCUCCUUAUCUUCAUUGUUGUCCCACUGCAUAGAGUACCUGAAAAGAGACUAAAAAGACUCGAGAAAUAAUAAAAACUCAAAAUCCUAUACCUAAAACAUAGAUAAAAUCAGUGAAGAUAGGAAUAUAUCAUACACCAACCAUCUUAUGUGGAUUAAGGAUCCUUCACGUAAUAAUGGUUAAAAACUAAGUGAGAUGAAAAAUAUUAACU
This 458-nucleotide small RNA is filed under the name Arabidopsis thaliana (thale cress). Its description in RNAcentral is "ATSL096430". Lineage: Eukaryota; Viridiplantae; Streptophyta; Magnoliopsida; Brassicales; Brassicaceae. The record is from RNAcentral.